Molecule: ribosomal RNA, 709 nt
Filed under: Lodderomyces metapsilosis
Lineage: Eukaryota; Fungi; Ascomycota; Pichiomycetes; Serinales; Debaryomycetaceae
Description: eukaryotic LSU rRNA
Rfam family: Eukaryotic small subunit ribosomal RNA (bases 1-203)
Source: RNAcentral
CAUCAGCUUGCGUUGAUUACGUCCCUGCCCUUUGUACACACCGCCCGUCGCUACUACCGAUUGAAUGGCUUAUGAGGCUUCCGGAUUGGUUUAAGAAGGGGGCAACUCCAUCUUGGAACCGAGAAGCUAGUCAAACUUGGUCAUUUAGAGGAAGUAAAAGUCGUAACAAGGUUUCCGUAGGUGAACCUGCGGAAGGAUCAUUACAGAAAUAGGAGAAGGUUGCUUAACUGCAAUCCUUUUCUUUCUACACAUGUGUUUUUCUUUUUUUUGAAAACUUUGCUUUGGUGGGCCCACGGCCUGCCAGAGAUUAAACUCAACCAAAUUUUUAUUUAAUUGUCAACUUGAUUAACUAAUAGUCAAAACUUUCAACAACGGAUCUCUUGGUUCUCGCAUCGAUGAAGAACGCAGCGAAAUGCGAUAAGUAAUAUGAAUUGCAGAUAUUCGUGAAUCAUCGAAUCUUUGAACGCACAUUGCGCCCUUUGGUAUUCCAAAGGGCAUGCCUGUUUGAGCGUCAUUUUCCCUCAAACCUUCGGGUUUGGUGUUGAGCGAUACGCUGGGUUUGCUUGAAAGAAAGGCGGAGUAUAAACUAAUGGAUAGGUUUUUUUUUUCCACUCAUUGGUACAAACUCCAAACAUUCUUCCAAAUUCGACCUCAAAUCAGGUAGGACUACCCGCUGAACUUAAGCAUAUCAAUAAGCGGAGGAAAAGAA